This 215-nucleotide ribosomal RNA is filed under the name uncultured bacterium. RNAcentral describes it as "partial 16S ribosomal RNA". It matches the Rfam family "Bacterial small subunit ribosomal RNA", at positions 32 to 224 of the family's 1533-position model. The record is from RNAcentral.
AAUCAACGCUGGCGGCGUGCCUCAGACAUGCAAGUCGAACGCGAAAUUUCCCUUCGGGGAGAAAGUAGAGUGGCGCACGGGUGAGUAACACGUAGGUAAUUUGCCUUUGGGUGGGGAAUAACUCAGGGAAACUUGAGCUAAUACCGCAUAAUGCAGCGGCUCGACAUCGAGACAGUUGUUAAAAGCGGGGGAGUCGCAAGACCUCGCGCCUGAAG